UACAGAGGGUGCGAGCGUUGUUCGGAAUUACUGGGCGUAAAGCGUGCGCAGGCGGCUUCGCAAGUCAGACGUGAAAUCCCCGGGCUUAACCUGGGAAUGGCGUUUGAAACUACGGAGCUGGAGUGUGGCAGAGGGAGGUAGAAUUCCACGUGUAGCGGUGAAAUGCGUAGAUAUGUGGAGGAAUACCGAUGGCGAAGGCAGCCUCCUGGGCCAACACUGACGCUCAUGCACGAAAGCGUGGGGAGCAAACAGG
This 253-nucleotide ribosomal RNA is filed under the name uncultured bacterium. RNAcentral describes it as "partial 16S ribosomal RNA". It matches the Rfam family "Bacterial small subunit ribosomal RNA", at positions 524 to 776 of the family's 1533-position model. The record is from RNAcentral.